GGGAGGCAGCAGUGGGGAAUUUUCCGCAAUGGGCGAAAGCCUGACGGAGCAAUCUGGCGUGAGGGAUGACGGCCUAUGGGUUGUAAACCUCUUUUUUCAGGGAGGAAUAAAAUGACUGUACCUGAAGAAUAAGCAUCGGCUAACUCCGUGCCAGCAGCCGCGGUAAGACGGAGGAUGCAAGUGUUAUCCGGAAUCACUGGGCGUAAAGCGUCUGUAGGUGGUUUAAUAAGUCAACUGUUAAAUCUUGAGGCUCAACCUCAAAAUCGCAGUCGAAACUAUUAGGCUAGAGUAUAGUAGGGGUAAAGGGAAUUUCCAGUGGAGCGGUGAAAUGCGUAGAGAUUGGAAAGAACACCGAUGGCGAAGGCACUUUACUGGGCUAUUACUAACACUCAGAGACGAAAGCUAGGGUAGCAAAUGGGAUUAGAUACCCCAGUAGUCCU
This 440-nucleotide ribosomal RNA is filed under the name uncultured bacterium. Its description in RNAcentral is "bacterial SSU rRNA". It matches the Rfam family "Bacterial small subunit ribosomal RNA", at positions 343 to 797 of the family's 1533-position model. The record is from RNAcentral.